This is a non-coding RNA of Sarcophilus harrisii (Tasmanian devil), 469 nucleotides long. Lineage: Eukaryota; Metazoa; Chordata; Mammalia; Dasyuromorphia; Dasyuridae. The record is from Rfam.
UCAGCCAAAGGCCAAUCAGAAGGUAAAAGGGGAUUGCAAUUAGGAAAAACAGAGUUGUAUGCAGUAGAGACUACUGAGAUAUCAUCCCCUGGAGAGGUGAAAUCUGUUCCUGUCCAGCCUAUAGAUCCCUUGCCUCCAGGCACAGUAGGCUUGACCAUUUCACCUCCUGAGGGUGCUUACAAAACAGUGGCCAUGGACAUCGGAAUCCUCUAAGGAGUGUCUAACAACUCACCUGCCGAAUCAACUAGCCCUGAAAAUGGAUGGCACUGGAGCAUUGGGCCCAUACCUGGCCGUCGCUGGCAAUGGGCACAAAGCAGGAACAGAAACGUGUUGUUUCCUGAGAACAGAUUCCGCACAAGGGAGGAAGGCAUGAACUCACUCCUCGGGGGCUAGGCCACGAUGAGUAGGAGGGCUGCUGCGGUGGGCCUGGAAGCCUAGGGCAUGGGCCCAGGUGGAGCUGCCGCAGGUG